AGGAAUCUGCCUGGUAGUGGGGGAUAACGUUUCGAAAGGGAGGCUAAUACCGCAUACGUCCUACGGGAGAAAGCAGGGGACCUUCGGGCCUUGCGCUAUCAGAUGAGCCUAGGUCGGAUUAGCUAGUUGGUGAGGUAAUGGCUCACCAAGGCUACGAUCCGUAACUGGUCUGAGAGGAUGAUCAGUCACACUGGAACUGAGACACGGUCCAGACUCCUACGGGAGGCAGCAGUGGGGAAUAUUGGACAAUGGGCGAAAGCCUGAUCCAGCCAUGCCGCGUGUGUGAAGAAGGUCUUCGGAUUGUAAAGCACUUUAAGUUGGGAGGAAGGGCAGUAAGCUAAUAUCUUGCUGUUUUGACGUUAUUUUAUAGAAUAAGCACCGGCUAACUCUGUGCCAGCAGCCGCGGUAAUACAGAGGGUGCAAGCGUUAAUCGGAAUUACUGGGCGUAAAGCGCGCGUAGGUGGUUUGUUAAGUUGGAUGUGAAAGCCCCGGGCUCAACCUGGGAACUGCAUCCAAACUGGCAAGCUAGAGUAUGGUAGA
This 540-nucleotide ribosomal RNA is filed under the name Pseudomonas graminis. RNAcentral's name for it is "bacterial SSU rRNA". It matches the Rfam family "Bacterial small subunit ribosomal RNA", at positions 119 to 655 of the family's 1533-position model. Lineage: Bacteria; Pseudomonadati; Pseudomonadota; Gammaproteobacteria; Pseudomonadales; Pseudomonadaceae. The record is from RNAcentral.